GAUGAACGCUGGCGGCGUGCCUAAUACAUGCAAGUCGAGCGAACAGACGAGGAGCUUGCUCCUCUGACGUUAGCGGCGGACGGGUGAGUAACACGUGGAUAACCUACCUAUAAGACUGGGAUAACUUCGGGAAACCGGAGCUAAUACCGGAUAAUAUAUUGAACCGCAUGGUUCAAUAGUGAAAGACGGUUUUGCUGUCACUUAUAGAUGGAUCCGCGCCGCAUUAGCUAGUUGGGAAGGUAACGGCUUACCAAGGCAACGAUGCGUAGCCGACCUGAGAGGGUGAUCGGCCAGACUGGAACUGAGACACGGUCCAGACUCCUACGGGAGGCCGCAGUAGGGAAUCUUCCGCAAUGGGCGAAAGCCUGACGGAGCAACGCCGCGUGAGUGAUGAAGGUCUUCGGAUCGUAAAACUCUGUUAUUAGGGAAGAACAAAUGUGUAAGUACCUAUGCACGUCUUGACGGUACCUAAUCAGAAAGCUACGGCUAACUACGUG
This 497-nucleotide ribosomal RNA is filed under the name uncultured bacterium. RNAcentral's name for it is "partial 16S ribosomal RNA". It matches the Rfam family "Bacterial small subunit ribosomal RNA", at positions 28 to 507 of the family's 1533-position model. The record is from RNAcentral.